CUGAAUAAAUGCAAAGACCACAUGAGGUUACUAUAACCGAGAUAAACAAUAAAGAUCAAAGCAAAGGAAAGAAAAAUUAAAUUCUGAUACAUAAUAAAUUCACAAAAGAAAAUAUUAGGGAUUACAUUUUCAGAGUGGAGACAAAAUAAAACACUAAAUAUAGGGAAAGACAAGUUUUAACGGAAAGAGCAAAAACGGCAAAGAUUUAGAUGAACGACUUCUAGAUUCCUCCAUUGCUGACAGACAAAAAAGACUACAGGAUAAGCCUAGCAGGGCCCGCAGGUGUCCCAGAGCUUCUUGCUGUAGCGGGGCAGGGCGCANGGGCUGCAAGAAGCCAGGGCAGCUUGUGCAGAGCUCAGCUUCUCCAUGCUGGGCUGAAGCGGCACCAGGGCCUUGGGGCUAUUGCUGGUGGCUCUAGCAGGGCCCGCAGGUGUCCCAGAGCUUCUUGCUGUAGCG
This 456-nucleotide long non-coding RNA is filed under the name Junco hyemalis (dark-eyed junco). Its description in RNAcentral is "lncRNA (ENSJHYG00000006732.1)". Lineage: Eukaryota; Metazoa; Chordata; Aves; Passeriformes; Passerellidae. The record is from RNAcentral.